This 325-nucleotide long non-coding RNA is filed under the name Vigna radiata. RNAcentral describes it as "long non-coding RNA (VRAD_LNC002117)". The record is from RNAcentral. Lineage: Eukaryota; Viridiplantae; Streptophyta; Magnoliopsida; Fabales; Fabaceae.
AACACGAAGCCCGGGCAUCCAGAAGCGUGGCCUUCAUCGCCUGGGUGACAGGGCUUCGUAGAUUGGGCGGCCAAUUUCAACGCCUAGGCCUUACAUGAGGGCCAAUUCUCACCCGGGCGGCCUCCUUGGACGCUUGAGCGACGACUUUAGUGAAUCGGGCCCUGUUUCUGCUCUAUUUUGAUUCUUUUGGACCGGACCUCAUUUUGGCAUGCCUCUAACACUUUUUAAAGGACCAUGGGGCUUUAGGUUUUGCAUCCCUGGCAGAGAAGAACAUAGCAAUACACUCUUUUACCAAUUCUUAGGCUUUCAUUCUCUUUCUUUCUUC